GAUGAACGCUGGCGGCGUGCCUAAUACAUGCAAGUCGAGCGAACAGACGAGGAGCUUGCUCCUCUGACGUUAGCGGCGGACGGGUGAGUAACACGUGGAUAACCUACCUAUAAGACUGGGAUAACUUCGGGAGACCGGAGCUAAUACCGGAUAAUAUAUUGAACCGCAUGGUUCAAUAGUGAAAGACGGUUUUGCUGUCACUUAUAGAUGGAUCCGCGCCGCAUUAGCUAGUUGGUAAGGUAACGGCUUACCAAGGCAACGAUGCGUAGCCGACCUGAGAGGGUGAUCGGCCACAUUGGAACUGAGACACGGUCCAGACUCCUACGGGAGGCAGCAGUAGGGAAUCUUCCGCAAUGGGCGAAAGCCUGACGGAGCAACGCCGCGUGAAUGAUGAAGGUCUUCGGAUCGUAAAACUCUGUUAUUAGGGAAGAACAAAUGUGUAAGUAACUAUGCACGUCUUGACGGUACCUAAUCAGAAAGCCACGGCUAACUACGUG
This 497-nucleotide ribosomal RNA is filed under the name uncultured bacterium. RNAcentral's name for it is "partial 16S ribosomal RNA". It matches the Rfam family "Bacterial small subunit ribosomal RNA", at positions 28 to 507 of the family's 1533-position model. The record is from RNAcentral.